GUCCAGUAGCACAUUAGAGACCAACUAAGUUUGUUCUUGGUAUAAGCUUUUGUGUGCAUGCACACUUCUUCAGAUACACUCUAAGCUUUUCGUGCAUGUACACGAAAGCUUAUACCAAGAAGUAACGUAGUUGGUCUCUAAGGUGCUACUGGACAA
Non-coding RNA from Podarcis lilfordi (Lilford's wall lizard), 156 nucleotides. The record is from the annotation of a GenBank genome assembly. Lineage: Eukaryota; Metazoa; Chordata; Lepidosauria; Squamata; Lacertidae.